Molecule: ribosomal RNA, 1370 nt
Filed under: Escherichia coli
Lineage: Bacteria; Pseudomonadati; Pseudomonadota; Gammaproteobacteria; Enterobacterales; Enterobacteriaceae
Description: partial 23S ribosomal RNA
Rfam family: Bacterial large subunit ribosomal RNA
Source: RNAcentral
ACAAAUGCCCUGCUUCCAGGAAAAGCCUCUAAGCAUCAGGUAACAUCAAAUCGUACCCCAAACCGACACAGGUGGUCAGGUAGAGAAUACCAAGGCGCUUGAGAGAACUCGGGUGAAGGAACUAGGCAAAAUGGUGCCGUAACUUCGGGAGAAGGCACGCUGAUAUGUAGGUGAAGCGACUUGCUCGUGGAGCUGAAAUCAGUCGAAGAUACCAGCUGGCUGCAACUGUUUAUUAAAAACACAGCACUGUGCAAACACGAAAGUGGACGUAUACGGUGUGACGCCUGCCCGGUGCCGGAAGGUUAAUUGAUGGGGUUAGCGGUAACGCGAAGCUCUUGAUCGAAGCCCCGGUAAACGGCGGCCGUAACUAUAACGGUCCUAAGGUAGCGAAAUUCCUUGUCGGGUAAGUUCCGACCUGCACGAAUGGCGUAAUGAUGGCCAGGCUGUCUCCACCCGAGACUCAGUGAAAUUGAACUCGCUGUGAAGAUGCAGUGUACCCGCGGCAAGACGGAAAGACCCCGUGAACCUUUACUAUAGCUUGACACUGAACAUUGAGCCUUGAUGUGUAGGAUAGGUGGGAGGCUUUGAAGUGUGGACGCCAGUCUGCAUGGAGCCGACCUUGAAAUACCACCCUUUAAUGUUUGAUGUUCUAACGUUGGCCCGUAAUCCGGGUUGCGGACAGUGUCUGGUGGGUAGUUUGACUGGGGCGGUCUCCUCCUAAAGAGUAACGGAGGAGCACGAAGGUUGGCUAAUCCUGGUCGGACAUCAGGAGGUUAGUGCAAUGGCAUAAGCCAGCUUGACUGCGAGCGUGACGGCGCGAGCAGGUGCGAAAGCAGGUCAUAGUGAUCCGGUGGUUCUGAAUGGAAGGGCCAUCGCUCAACGGAUAAAAGGUACUCCGGGGAUAACAGGCUGAUACCGCCCAAGAGUUCAUAUCGACGGCGGUGUUUGGCACCUCGAUGUCGGCUCAUCACAUCCUGGGGCUGAAGUAGGUCCCAAGGGUAUGGCUGUUCGCCAUUUAAAGUGGUACGCGAGCUGGGUUUAGAACGUCGUGAGACAGUUCGGUCCCUAUCUGCCGUGGGCGCUGGAGAACUGAGGGGGGCUGCUCCUAGUACGAGAGGACCGGAGUGGACGCAUCACUGGUGUUCGGGUUGUCAUGCCAAUGGCACUGCCCGGUAGCUAAAUGCGGAAGAGAUAAGUGCUGAAAGCAUCUAAGCACGAAACUUGCCCCGAGAUGAGUUCUCCCUGAGACUUAGAGUCUCCUGAAGGAACGUUGAAGACGACGACGUUGAUAGGCCGGGUGUGUAAGCGCAGCGAUGCGUUGAGCUAACCGGUACUAAUGAACCGUGAGGCUUAACCUUACAACGCCGAAG